GAGACAAGCAUAUGACUACUGGCAGGAUCAACCAGGUAGCAUUCCUCCACGACGCCGCGCGCCGCCCUUGCGCCGCCGGGGCGGUCCCCAAGGGGCGGGCGCGGCCGUCACACGUUUCAUAUCGAAGCUCCUCCCGGGACCGGGGCGCGAGUCCCCGUCCGCGGCGUGCUCUGGGUCCAAGAGCGUCGCGCUUCCCCGUGGGCCACGCGACCGAAGAAGGCUCGGUGGAACACGGGGGUUCGCUCGGCUGUCCUCCCGCGCCAGUUAGAAGGCGCCGGACGGAGGCUGAGUGCGAGUGGGCCUCGCUUUCCCUUGAGGGGGUAGGCGGCACAAGAACCGGCCUCUGAGGCGCCAUCCCACCCCACGGCAACCGACGCGGAUUGCCUGCCGACCGUUCGGUGGACCAGCACGGAGCCAGCCGGCAGAGACAAACCAAACACCACUCAC
This 447-nucleotide unclassified non-coding RNA is filed under the name Albizia tanganyicensis. Its description in RNAcentral is "external transcribed spacer". The record is from RNAcentral. Lineage: Eukaryota; Viridiplantae; Streptophyta; Magnoliopsida; Fabales; Fabaceae.